Long non-coding RNA from Salvelinus sp. IW2-2015, 1148 nucleotides. RefSeq lists it as uncharacterized. The record is from RefSeq and is a predicted model, not a curated record. Lineage: Eukaryota; Metazoa; Chordata; Actinopteri; Salmoniformes; Salmonidae.
GAAAAUGAAGUCAUGCACAAGGGACAGCCAUUAUCAACCAUCUGCUAAAAGAGGUCACAUAAGACAACACAGAAAAACAUUUCAUAAACAAUUUUAAUCUUACCAACAAUGGCAUCCAGUCUUCUUAUGUCGAAGGGCCUCCUUAGCAACAUGUCGAAAGACAUACAGUAAGUAGAAUGGCCUGUCUCCAUUCAGAGUGCAUCAGCCACAAGCAUCCCCAUGAUCAAUACUAAGCGACCCUGAACACUGCGAGGUGUGUGAAAAGGAGUGAGUUCUUGUCGGUGGGAAAAGCGCUGCUUCGUCGAUACAGUCAGUCGUCAGAGUAAAGCAGACAUCUAUUUGCAGACAUCUCCAACCCCGGCUGGUAGUCUGUGAUCUCCUCAGAGCCUGACAAAAACCAUGCAUCAGGAUUUUUUGUGAUGUUCAUUUGUUUUAUGUGCCAUUAAUCAACAUUCAUAUCAUAAACAAUUGCCAGUAGCAAUACUGCACAUCUCAGCAGCAUCUUCUGAAGGAUUGCUGUGGGGCGGCAGAGGAAAACAAAUGUAGCACAACUAAAGGCCUACUAUAUCCUGCUGAAUUCCUCAGUCUUGACAGAGGAAGCAGGUCAUUAUGUGCAACUGCCUUAAGCCUUUAGACUGACUCAGACUGCUUUGUACUAUCACGUUAAGCCCCCAGGUCACGGUUUCAUCUAGUUCUGUGGGUUCAGUGAGGGGAGAAUAGUCUGAGUUAGUAGAAGCGGAGUGGAAAUCAGACCUGGAAUGUGUGGCUAUAGAUUAAGCCCCUGUUUAAACAUGGGGUUUAGAAGAAGACACAGUCAAUCUACUAAUUACAUUUGUUUCAGUCUGUAUUCUGCCUAAGUGAAAUUAGCAUUGUACAACAAUAGAUUUUUUAUUUUAAUAUGUUCAGUUGAAGAUCAACUAAUCAAUGUAAUGGGGCUAUGAAUGUCCCUUUGCACAAUAUGUAUCCUGAAGACUGUGUAGGCCUAUGCAAGUGACUGGGUCUCCUUUACCAUUUUUAUGAAAAAUAUGCAUGAAACACUCUGUCUGUCCGUGGCAGCUCACUGAGCUGUGAAAUUGGCCUUAUCAAGUUGUCCAUCUCUGUCCUCUGCUCUGGUCUCUUCUCUCUCCUCCGUCCCUCCCCUCCUCCCA